UACGAAGGGGGCUAGCGUUGUUCGGAUUUACUGGGCGUAAAGCGCACGUAGGCGGCUUGUUAAGUGAGGGGUGAAAUCCUGGAGCUCAACUCCAGAACUGCCUUUCAUACUGGCAAGCUAGAGUCCGGAAGAGGUGAGUGGAACUCCUAGUGUAGAGGUGGAACUCGUAGAUAUUAGGAAGAACACCAGUGGCGAAGGCGGCUCACUGGUCCGGUACUGACGCUGAGGUGCGAAAGCGUGGGGAGCAAACAGG
Molecule: ribosomal RNA, 253 nt
Filed under: uncultured bacterium
Lineage: Bacteria
Description: partial 16S ribosomal RNA
Rfam family: Bacterial small subunit ribosomal RNA
Source: RNAcentral